This 253-nucleotide ribosomal RNA is filed under the name uncultured bacterium. RNAcentral's name for it is "partial 16S ribosomal RNA". It matches the Rfam family "Bacterial small subunit ribosomal RNA", at positions 524 to 776 of the family's 1533-position model. The record is from RNAcentral.
UACGUAGGAGGCAAGCGUUGUCCGGAAUUACUGGGCGUAAAGCGCGUGUAGGUGGUGGGACAAGUCUGCUGUGAAAGCGCCUGGCUUAACCGGGCGAGGUCGGCGGAAACUGUCCGACUAGAGGACGGUAGAGGGGGGUGGAAUUCCCGGUGUAGUGGUGAAAUGCGCAGAUAUCAGGAGGAACACCGGUGGCGAAGGCGGUGGUCUGGGCCGGCACUGACGCUGAGGAGCGAAAGCGUGGGUAGCAAACAGG